RNAcentral lists this ribosomal RNA (510 nucleotides) under uncultured bacterium. RNAcentral's name for it is "bacterial SSU rRNA". It matches the Rfam family "Bacterial small subunit ribosomal RNA", at positions 30 to 518 of the family's 1533-position model. The record is from RNAcentral.
CGAACGCUGGCGGCGUGCUUAACACAUGCAAGUCGAACGCGAAAGGGACUUCGGUCCUGAGUAAAGUGGCGCACGGGUGAGUAACGCGUAGAUAACCUGUCUUUAUGUCUGGAAUAAUACGCCAAAGGGGUACUAAUACCGGAUAUUUUUUGCAUUGCAUAAGCAGUGUAAGCAAAGGUGGCCUCUGACAUAAGCUACUGCAUAAAGAGGGGUCUGCGUACCAUUAGCUAGUAGGUGGGGUAAAGGCCUACCUAGGCUACGAUGGUUAGCGGGUCUGAGAGGAUGAUCCGCCACACUGGCACUGGAACACGGGCCAGACUCCUACGGGAGGCAGCAGUGAGGAAUAUUGCGCAAUGGGGGCAACCCUGACGCAGCGACGCCGCGUGAAGUGAGGAAGGCCUUCGGGUCGUAAAGCUCUGUCAAAGGGAAAGAAGUGCAUGGUGGUUAAUACCUGCCAUGUUUGACGGUACCCUUAAAGGAAGCACCGGCUAACUCCGUGCCAGCCGCGGC